RNAcentral lists this ribosomal RNA (633 nucleotides) under uncultured bacterium. Its description in RNAcentral is "bacterial SSU rRNA". It matches the Rfam family "Bacterial small subunit ribosomal RNA", at positions 857 to 1495 of the family's 1533-position model. The record is from RNAcentral.
GCAAUAAGUUCUCCGCCUGGGGAGUAUGCACGCAAGUGUGAAACUCAAAGGAAUUGACGGGGGCCCGCACAAGCGGUGGAGUAUGUGGUUUAAUUCGAAGCAACGCGAAGAACCUUACCAAGCCUUGACAUACCGAGCGAAGGUGCAGAGAUGCACCGGAGGAUAACUGGGAUACAGGUGGUGCAUGGUUGUCGUCAGCUCGUGUCGUGAGAUGUUGGGUUAAGUCCCGCAACGAGCGCAACCCUUGUUUUAUGUUACCAAUAUUAAGUUAGGGACUCAUAAGAGACUGCCGGUGACAAACCGGAGGAAGGUGGGGAUGACGUCAAAUCAUCAUGCCCCUUAUGGCUUGGGCUACACACGUACUACAAUGGCAGUUACAAAGGGCAGCGACCUAGUGAUAGGGAGCGAAACUCGGAAAGGCUGUCUCAGUUCGGAUUGAAGUCUGCGACUCGACUUCAUGAAGUCGGAAUCGCUAGUAAUCGCGAAUCAGCAUGUCGCGGUGAAUACGUUCUCGGGCCUUGUACACACCGCCCGUCAAACCAUGGGAGUUGGCAAUACCCGAAGCCGGUGGCAUAACCGAAAGGAGUGAGCCGUCGAAGGUAGGGCCGAUGACUGGGGUUAAGUCGUAACAAG